RNAcentral lists this ribosomal RNA (499 nucleotides) under uncultured Proteus sp. Its description in RNAcentral is "partial 16S ribosomal RNA". Lineage: Bacteria; Pseudomonadati; Pseudomonadota; Gammaproteobacteria; Enterobacterales; Morganellaceae. The record is from RNAcentral.
CACGGAGUUAGCCGGUGCUUCUUCUGCGGGUAACGUCAAUUGACAAGGGUAUUAACCUUAUCACCUUCCUCCCCGCUGAAAGUACUUUACAACCCUAAGGCCUUCUUCAUACACGCGGCAUGGCUGCAUCAGGCUUGCGCCCAUUGUGCAAUAUUCCCCACUGCUGCCUCCCGUAGGAGUCUGGGCCGUGUCUCAGUCCCAGUGUGGCUGAUCAUCCUCUCAGACCAGCUAGAGAUCGUCGCCUAGGUGAGCCUUUACCCCACCUACUAGCUAAUCCCAUAUGGGUUCAUCCGAUAGUGCAAGGUCCGAAGAGCCCCUGCUUUGGUCCGUAGACAUUAUGCGGUAUUAGCCACCGUUUCCAGUAGUUACUCCCCCUCUAUCGGGCAGACUCCCCAUACAUUACUCCACCCGUCCGCCGCUCGUCAGACAAGAAAGCAAGUCUUUCUCCUCGUUACCGCUCGACUUGCUAUGUGUUACGGCCUGCCGCCAGUCCGUUCAA